This 322-nucleotide ribosomal RNA is filed under the name Rhogostoma sp. Its description in RNAcentral is "SSU rRNA". The stretch from base 105 to 322 matches the Rfam family "Eukaryotic small subunit ribosomal RNA", at positions 736 to 955 of the family's 1831-position model. Lineage: Eukaryota; Cercozoa; Thecofilosea; Cryomonadida; Rhogostomidae. The record is from RNAcentral.
GAUUUCUGGUUUAAUGCACCUGGCCCGCGAACCGUCAGGUUUGUGAGUGCCGGCGCGCGUUUACCAUCCUUCUAGAAAUCGAUUCUGCCAUCACUUGGUUGGGAUCGCGAUCUAGAUCAUUUACUUUGAAAAAAUUAGAGUGUUUGAAGCAGGCUUUUGCUAUGAAUACAUUAGCAUGGAAUAAUAAUCUAGGACUUCGGUUCUAUUUUGUUGGUUUCUAUAACUGAAGUAAUGAUUGAUAGGGACAGUUGGGGGUGCUAGUAUUGGCCGGCCAGAGGUGAAAUUCUUGGAUUCGGUCAAGACUAACUUAUGCGAAAGCAUU